UCCUACCGGAGGUGGGGGUGCGGUAUCUUAGGUGAGGCAGCAGUGGGGAAUCUUAGACAAUGGGGGCAAGCCUGAUCUAGCCAUGCCGCGUGAGCGAUGAAGGCCUUAGGGUUGUAAAGCUCUUUCAUGGGGGAAGAUAAGGACGGUCCCCUAAUGAAAAAGGCCGGACCCCG
RNAcentral lists this ribosomal RNA (173 nucleotides) under uncultured bacterium. RNAcentral describes it as "partial 16S ribosomal RNA". It matches the Rfam family "Bacterial small subunit ribosomal RNA", at positions 308 to 505 of the family's 1533-position model. The record is from RNAcentral.